This 253-nucleotide ribosomal RNA is filed under the name uncultured bacterium. RNAcentral's name for it is "partial 16S ribosomal RNA". It matches the Rfam family "Bacterial small subunit ribosomal RNA", at positions 524 to 776 of the family's 1533-position model. The record is from RNAcentral.
UACGUAGGGUGCAAGCGUUGUCCGGAAUUAUUGGGCGUAAAGAGCUCGUAGGCGGUCUGUCGCGUCGGCUGUGAAAUCCCGAGGCUCAACCUCGGGUCUGCAGUCGAUACGGGCAAACUGGAGUGUUGCGGGGGAGACUGGAAUUCCUGGUGUAGCGGUGAAAUGCGCAGAUAUCAGGAGGAACACCGGUGGCGAAGGCGGGUCUCUGGGCAACAACUGACGCUGAGGAGCGAAAGCGUGGGGAGCGAACAGG